RNAcentral lists this transfer RNA (76 nucleotides) under Gammaproteobacteria bacterium. Its description in RNAcentral is "tRNA-Ala". It matches the Rfam family "tRNA". Rfam says of the family: Transfer RNA (tRNA) molecules are approximately 80 nucleotides in length. Their secondary structure includes four short double-helical elements and three loops (D, anti-codon, and T loops). Lineage: Bacteria; Pseudomonadati; Pseudomonadota; Gammaproteobacteria. The record is from RNAcentral. RNAcentral also lists the same sequence under 1 other name.
GGGGCCUUAGCUCAGCUGGGAGAGCACCUGCUUUGCAAGCAGGGGGUCAUCGGUUCGAUCCCGAUACGCUCCACCA